ACAACAGCAUUUAACGGAGAGCGAGGAAUUACGGCCCCGCAGAGACUCCUCCGUUUUGCAGCCUGGGAAGAUCUCCGAUUGCUCUUAUGUGCAGCGCCGUCCGUCCGACCGGCAGCGCUGACAUCCUGGGCUCCUGCGCACGUGGGUCCGCAGCGGGGGCGCGCAAGACCUCGGCUUGUCCGCGGCAGCGAGCAGCUCUGCACGGCCCGGCUGCGGCGAUUGCAUGCGUUUGCACACCUGCGUGACUGCUCGCGUGUGUGUUUGCACACCUGCACGGCUGCCCGCGUGUGCAUUUGCACACCCACACAACAGCCCGUGCACAGCUGUCUGUGUGCAUUUGCACACCCACACAGCCGCCCGCGUGUGCAUUUGCACACCUGCACAACAGCCCGUGCACAGCUGUCUGUGUGCAUUUKCACACCCACGCGGCCGCCUGCGUGUGCAUUUGCACACCUGCACAACAGCCCGUGCACAUCUGUCUGUGUGCAUUUGCACACCCGCACGGCUGCCCGCGUGUGCACGCACGCGCGCGGGCGCAUUCGCACGCCUGGCCCCGCUCGCCCCCGCCGCGCUGAGCGUUGCUCACCCCGGCCACAGACAUCCCCAUCGAUACUGCAAUUAGGUGCAAUUUACGGAGAGAUUGCCUCGAAUUUUCCUGUUAUUGUGCUUCAAAUAGCUGGGAAUUUCUCGCUGAGGGUUGCGGCUCCGCGGGGAGGGCAGAGCCCCUGGACGGGGGGGGGGAGCUGGGCACGGGGCGGCUGGAGAGGCAGCGCUGCAGCGAGCCCGGGCGCAGCGUCGCGGGGCAGCGCGGUCCGAGCCCUCGUGCCUUUGGCUGCGUGUCCCUCCCUCGGCUCCAGCGCCGGCCCUGCCAAGCCUCCGGCACGGGCGGCACGGCCGAAAGCGGAGCAGGAGGGCUGGCACCCCGUGGGGGAUCUGCCGCCCUCGCAGGGCAGGGAGGGGGGCCRUGCCGGUCUUGCUGGGUGCUGCGGGAUCCUGGGAGCCCCCGGAGCUGCUGGAGCCCCCCAGAGCCCCCCGUGGCACCCAGAUCCUCCUGCAGCCCCUGGAUCCCUCCAGAGGCCCUGGAUCCUCCUGCAGCACCUGGAGCCCCUGGAGCCCCCCGCGAUCCCCGGAGCCCCCCAGAGCCCCCUGUGGCACCCGGAUCUUCCGGAGCCCUUGGAGCCUCUGGAGCUCCUGGAUCCCCCUGGAGCCCCCGGAUCCCCCCGCAGCUGCUCCCAGCCUCCUGGCGAAGGCGAGAGGGGAGCGGAGGCUUUUCGGGUGGGCUGGUCCCCCCCCCCCAAGAGUUUUUUUAAUCGUUUGAUUUACUUAUCUUGCCUCAGAUCGGCUGAUCUACUCUGCUGCUUUUUAAUUGCUUCAAAAGUUGAGCGGUUUUUCAUGUUUUAA
RNAcentral lists this long non-coding RNA (1401 nucleotides) under Apteryx rowi (Okarito brown kiwi). Its description in RNAcentral is "lncRNA (ENSARWG00000006497.1)". The record is from RNAcentral. Lineage: Eukaryota; Metazoa; Chordata; Aves; Apterygiformes; Apterygidae.